AGAGCUUGAUCCUGGCUCAGGGUGAACGCUGGCGGCGUGCCUAAGACAUGCAAGUCGAACGGGUUGGUAACAACACCGUGGCGGACGGGUGAGUAACGCGUGGGUGACGUGCCCUGGAGUUGGGGACAACCAAGCGAAAGUUUGGAUAAUCCCCGAUGGUGAUGCAGCUCCUGUGCUGUAUCUAAAGAUUUAUCGCUCCAGGAUCGGCCCGCGUCCUAUCAGGUAGUUGGUGGGGUAACGGCUCACCAAGCCAACGACAGGUAACUGGUCUGAGAGGACGACCAGUCACAGGAGCACUGAGACACGGGCUCCACUCCUACGGGAGGCAGCAGUUAGGAAUAUUCGUCAAUGGGGGAAACCCUGAACGAGCGACGCCACUUGAAGGACGAAGCCUUUCGGGGUGUAAACUUCUGAACUCGGGACGAUAAUGACGGUACCGAGCUAAUAGCACCGGCUAACUCCGUGCCAGCAGCCGCGGUAAUACGGAGGGUGCGAGCGUUACCCGGAUUUACUGGGCGUAAAGGGCGUGUAGGCGGUUUGUUAAGUCCGAUGUGAAAGACCGGGGCUCAACCCCGGGAACGCGUUGGAUACUGACAGACUAGACGGCUGGAGGGGGUAGCGGAAUUUCCGGAGUAGCGGUGAAAUGCGCAGAUACCGGAAGGAACGCCAAUAGCGAAGGCAGCUACCUAGACAGCACGUGACGCUGAGGCGCGAAAGCAUGGGGAGCAAACCGGAUUAGAUACCCGGGUAGUCCAUGCCCUAAACGAUGAGUGCUGGGUGUCCGGCGUAUGCUGGGUGCCGAAGCUAACGCGUUAAGCACUCCGCCUGGGAAGUACGGUCGCAAGACUGAAACUCAAAGGAAUUGACGGGGCCCCGCACAAGCGGUGGAGCAUGUGGUUUAAUUCGAACGAACGCGCAGAACCUUACCAGGCCUUGACAUCUGGGGAAUCCCGCUGAAAGGUGGGAGUGUCCGCAAGGAAGCCCCAAGACAGGUGCUGCAUGGCUGUCGUCAGCUCGUGUCGUGAGAUGUUGGGUUAAGUCCCGCAACGAGCGCAACCCCUGUAGUUAGUUGCCAGCAGUUCGGCUGGGCACUCUAGCUAUACUGCCUGCGAAAGCAGGAGGAAGGCGGGGAUGACGUCUAGUCCGCAUGGCCCUUACGGCCUGGGCUACACACGUGCUACAAUGGUUGCUACAGAGCGCUGCAACACGGCGACGUGAAGCCAAUCGCUUAAAAGCAACCUCAGUUCGGAUUGGAGUCUGCAACUCGACUCCAUGAAGCCGGAAUCGCUAGUAAUCGCGAAUCAGCUACGUCGCGGUGAAUACGUUCCCGGGGCUUGUACACACCGCCCGUCAAGCCAUGGGAGUAGGUUUCACCUGAAGUCACUGGGAGCUUAAGGCAGGUGCCGAGGGUGGGGCUUAUGACUGGGGCUAAGUCGUAACAAGGUA
RNAcentral lists this ribosomal RNA (1446 nucleotides) under metagenome. RNAcentral describes it as "bacterial SSU rRNA". It matches the Rfam family "Bacterial small subunit ribosomal RNA". The record is from RNAcentral.